ACGUAGGGCGCAAGCGUUGUCCGGAAUUAUUGGGCGUAAAGAGCUCGUAGGCGGUUUGUCGCGUCUGCUGUGAAAUCCUGAGGCUCAACCUCGGGCUUGCAGUGGGUACGGGCAGACUAGAGUGCGGUAGGGGUGACUGGAAUUCCUGGUGUAGCGGUGGAAUGCGCAGAUAUCAGGAGGAACACCGAUGGCGAAGGCAGGUCACUGGGCCGCAACUGACGCUGAGGAGCGAAAGCAUGGGGAGCGAACAGGAUUAGAUACCCUGGUAGUCCAUGCCGUAAACGUUGGGCACUAGGUGUGGGGCUCAUUCCACGAGUUCCGUGCCGCAGCAAACGCAUUAAGUGCCCCGCCUGGGGAGUACGGCCGCAAGGCUA
This 374-nucleotide ribosomal RNA is filed under the name uncultured bacterium. RNAcentral's name for it is "bacterial SSU rRNA". It matches the Rfam family "Bacterial small subunit ribosomal RNA", at positions 525 to 896 of the family's 1533-position model. The record is from RNAcentral.